Molecule: long non-coding RNA, 2113 nt
Organism: Equus asinus (donkey)
Lineage: Eukaryota; Metazoa; Chordata; Mammalia; Perissodactyla; Equidae
Source: Ensembl
CUUGUCGAGGGAAGGAAAGGGAAAAUCAGACCUGUUGUUUUUUGAAUCUUGAGUGAUCAAUUCAAAGCCAAGGCUGAUGCAAGGACAACCAGUUGAGUGCUAAGAUGCUUGCUGUUGUCUACUGUGUGGCAGACAUUUGGGUGUGUUUGAUUUUUAUUUAUUUAUAUUUUUUGCUUUUGCUUUAGUCUCCUCACAGUCAGGAAACAAACACAAUGCACUGUCCCAAUUACCACACCUGCCUCAACCACUGCCAUUCUUCUAUGCCUCAUGGUCUCCCACCAACAGUGUGGGGUCACUUUUGAUCAUUGAGCCAUCUUGAGCUUGUAAACCAUGUGAUAUUUGUGGCUUAUCUAGGAGAACAGGAACCCAAAGAUAACAAUCAACAUCUUUAGAUAGAUCCCAGAGAUCUAUCAAUCUUAGGAACCUCACUUGUGCAAAACUCUGUUUCUGGAUGUUAGCUCAGCAACAAUCUUCCUCAAGCCCAAAGAGGAAGACUGGCAACAGAUGUUAGCUCAGGGCCAAUCUUCCUCACCAAAAACCCCCAACAAACAAAAACCCAGUUUCUGUCGAAAUGUUUUUGGUAUGGCUGUAUAGACAUCUGGAGUAUUUGCCUUGUGAUAGAAAUCAUUUAUAUUUGUAGAAACUAUUGUAUUUUUAGAUCCUUUAAUCAUACAUUCUGAACAGUGUUGUCAAAGAUAGGGAAUGAAAUAUAGUGAAAAGCCCAUGGCACGAGGCAUAUGACGUCACUUAAAAACUUUCUGAUUGGAUCCAGUUACUCUUUACAAGUCUCAGUAUUUCCAUCAUAAAGUGGGAGUAAUAAUGCCUUCCCUAGCUUUACUUAAUAUAAGAGAAGUACAAGUGUUUUAAAAUUCCAAAGUGUAUAAUUCCAAAGUACAAGUGUAUGAUGAGAAGGAAAAAUAAGACUUAUCAAGCCUCUUCUCUACGAGACGAGCCACACUAAGGUAACACUAUUGUGUAAGGAGAGCGCCUCAUCUACAAGAUCCCUUACUUGCAAUUGUUAUGCACGGACAGAGCCUCUCAGCAGAGGCAACAAGUCAGUACCAAUUUCACAGUUGCAACACUGGGUUUUGGAACCAGGCAGACAUGGGUUCAAAUUCUAGCUCUGCCAUUUUAUGACCUUGUCAUUUUACUGCUCUAUUUUCUUAUCCAUGGAAUAAAGCUAAUAAUUUCUACUUCAUGGAGUUUUGGUAGAGAUUAAGUGAGCUGCCAUAUGAUAAAGUACCCGGCACAGGUCUACUGCAGAGCAAUGGUGAAAAUAUGAAUCACUCCAUCUCCAGCACAACGUCUGGGAAGAAAGAAGGGGAAAAUGACUCACAGCCUGUUUGGAAUAUCAGGGGCCCAUAAGUGAGAAAUGAGGAGGGUCAGCACAGCAAAGUGUAUGUUUCUCACCGGGUGAAGGAUUUCCACGUAACAGGACUCACGGAAUGCAAAUGAAACUUGUACCUUAGAGAAGGGAACUUCUUUCUACUCCCCUAAACCUCUCAGUCGAAAACUUCAUUCUUCCAUUAAAAAAGAAUUGUGUUUUGUGAUUUAUAAAGUCUACUGCUUUUUCUUCAAGUUGAAUGUUAACGUUCUGCCUUGUGCCCUUAACUUAAUGGAUGUUCUCAAAACUGGCAGCUUUUCUUUCAUGCGGGAAGAAGGAAUAAUUCUGAAUUAAGAGCACUAAAAUAGGUUAAGGAUACAUUAUGUCAGAGGCUGUAGAUUGUUAACAAGCAAAGGAAGCACAAGUCAUAGGAUAUAAUACAAUUAAAGGCAACUGGGUAAGAUUGCCAGCCGUUCCAUCCCAAUGACUUCACCUGUUGAUGCCAGAGGUGACCCUUUCCAGUCUGUCUAAAAUUUGACAGGGUCCAAGGUGCUUUUCUAAUUUCUGAGUGAAUCACAAUUAGUGAGUAUAGUAGGUGCUGCGGGUGCCCCUCCUAUAUCUCAUUACCAGGCCCAUUUGCCCUUCUCCAGCUGUUGUGAGUUUUGGCUGCUAAUGAGCUACAGCUGCGCCCCCUCCAGAAAAUUGCUGAUGGCAGCUGUAUCUCCCAAGAGGUUAUGAUCCUCCAAUUAGGGGCAGCCAAUGAUUGAUGGAUAUGGGGCUACAAAUGGC